AUGGCUAAUCAAAUGUCAAAUUUUCACAGCAAGAAUUUUCCAGAAGGGGAACAGGGCUCUGUCCAGGUGUAUGUUACUCAUAUUUGCAGAUUCAGUGCUGAUGAGACAGUUUCUGGAGACCCAGGACAAACAAUGCUGGCUGGAAGAGCCAACCCUGGCCAGUCAGCCCCUUGUUUGGCAGCACUUCCAGGUGCUACAGAAGAACUGGUGCAGCAAGGACGAUUGAUUCGUGUGGGUCAAAGUAGGGGUGUUGAUGUUCUUCCGGAAUGUGCAGCAGUUGCUGAUAAUAUUGGCUGACACUGAAGAUCCUGCCAAUUUCUUUAAUCUUCCUUACUGCUGGUAGACUUGAAUGGUCCAAAAGGCCAUGUAUACCAGCCUGGAGUGCUACCCCGAAACCACUGGAUCUUGAACUCCCUGCCACUCUGAACGGCAAUGCACAAAGCAGGUGAUCUUAUUUAUACUGGCAACAUAAGUUCUUGGUAACAGGGGCAGAGCAGUAUGGUUUGGUGCCUAACACAGGAAGUUAAAAAAUAAAAAUAAUAAAAGGAAAGAAAGGGGGGAAAAAAUGCUCCUAUCAGUGUGGAAUGGGCAAGUAGAACCCACCAAAAAGGUAAAAUGUGAAACUAGCAGGAAGAACUGUCUCCAAUUGCAUGAGAAGAACAUGCCAACAAAAGACAAUUUUUCAAAGAUAAUUGUUAAGAAACACAUUGCCAAGAACUUUAAAAAUCAAGUACAAGCCAGGCAUGGUGGCAUGUGCCUGUGGUCCCAGCUACUUGAGAGACUGAGGCAGGAGGAUGGCUUAAGCCCAGAGUUUAACACUGUAGUGUGCGAUGAUCAUGCCUGUGAAUAGUCACUGCACUCCAGCCUGGGUGACAUAGCAAGACCCCACCUGUGAAAAAAAAAAAAAAAAAAAUCAUGUGCAGACAUUUGUUUUCCAGUUUGCUAGACACCAGCACUUGAAGAAAUAUCUCUUUUAGGAUGAAGAGAUGUUUUUCCUAAAGUUGUAUGAAAC
This 1012-nucleotide long non-coding RNA is filed under the name Homo sapiens (human). RNAcentral's name for it is "non-protein coding lnc-ERI1-4:1". The record is from RNAcentral. Lineage: Eukaryota; Metazoa; Chordata; Mammalia; Primates; Hominidae.